ACAACCUCGUUACUGGUUCGAGUCAUACACUACCUCCUGUAAGCAAAGGAAAUUCAAACAAAUCAACAAAUAUUUUCCAAAAAAAAUAAGAAAUAAACACUAAGAAAAGUUGUAUCUAUUACCCUAUCUUUUGCCAAUUAUCUCCUUAAACGGUGUGCAAUAAUGCUAAAAAUCACUCAAUCUAACACCGGCUCCCCGACAAUAAC
RNAcentral lists this long non-coding RNA (206 nucleotides) under Gossypium raimondii (Peruvian cotton). Its description in RNAcentral is "long non-coding RNA (GRAI_LNC011156)". The record is from RNAcentral. Lineage: Eukaryota; Viridiplantae; Streptophyta; Magnoliopsida; Malvales; Malvaceae.